This 196-nucleotide small nucleolar RNA is filed under the name Babjeviella inositovora NRRL Y-12698. RNAcentral's name for it is "Small nucleolar RNA snR34". It matches the Rfam family "Small nucleolar RNA snR34". Lineage: Eukaryota; Fungi; Ascomycota; Pichiomycetes; Serinales. The record is from Rfam by way of RNAcentral.
UAAUCAAAAAGUACAGGGGGUAUUUGCCACGGCGAUUUAAUGUAUAUAAUCAAGUUAUAAUCGUUGCCAUUUUCUAAAAAGAAUAUGAUCUUUAACCACCCGAGAUAGAUAAACUUACUCCCGGAUAGGAAGUUCGAUGUCCGUGUGUCUCUUUAUUGAGGCGAUGGUCUUGAAUGUCGAUAGAUGGGAUACAGCU